This 69-nucleotide transfer RNA is filed under the name Tenuidactylus elongatus. RNAcentral describes it as "tRNA-Trp". Lineage: Eukaryota; Metazoa; Chordata; Lepidosauria; Squamata; Gekkonidae. The record is from RNAcentral.
AGAAAUUUAGGUUAAACACUAAACCAGAACCUUCAAAGUUCUAAAUAUGAGACAACCUCAUAAUUCCUG